AAAAAUUUAGUUAAUCUAAUAACAUUAGUAUGUCAAACUAAAAUAAAUUAUAAAAUAUUAAUUUUUA
RNAcentral lists this transfer RNA (67 nucleotides) under Lissodema cursor. Its description in RNAcentral is "tRNA-Asp". Lineage: Eukaryota; Metazoa; Arthropoda; Insecta; Coleoptera; Salpingidae. The record is from RNAcentral.